This 388-nucleotide long non-coding RNA is filed under the name Capra hircus (goat). RNAcentral describes it as "lncRNA (ENSCHIG00000005208.1)". Lineage: Eukaryota; Metazoa; Chordata; Mammalia; Artiodactyla; Bovidae. The record is from RNAcentral.
AUUUUGGCCAAGGAAAAAAGGGAUUUGGAUAAAGUUUGGAUGAGAGGUCACUGCUGCAAGCCACCCUUGCACAUACACUUGCUUUGGGGAGGAGGGCACUGCACCCACACAGCCUGCUGAGCACACACGGGUGCUGUCUGCUGCAGAAGAUCUUCUAUGUUGCCAUUGUGUGCACGGCCCAGGGCCUCCUAGGAUCUGCUGUCCCUAGAGACUGACUGAACCCAGGGUGCUCUCAUCUGCAGCUGAGCAAAGGAGCUCCUGGCAGAAGACAGCCUGGAAUGGCCCAGGACGUGGCCUAAAGUGAAUGCCUCAAAGACCUGUGGGGAGGUUGCCAGCUGCAGGGGCCAGAAGAUAAGAGUGUUAAUUUAGCUUGGCUGACAUCCAGGAA